GCAGCCAAACUGUCCUUUCUGCUUCCGUCUGUCUGUGCCAGCCCUGCCGCCUGCCAGCUCAUGCAUUCUGGAACUUGUAGUCUCCUGGAUCAUAGGCCUGAAUUGGUUCCACAUUUUGCGUAACCAAUCGGCUUGUGCCAUCCCCACCCCGCCUCUUCAGCCGGACGGAAAUAAACAGUUCCGCUCCUGGCAGGGGCGCGAUCUUGGGGACUCCGGCAGCGCGUUAAGGGAAGUCCUGCUGGUCGAAUGCGACCUGGACAUGGCGUGGGAGCGCCGAGCUGUCCCCUUGUGGAUGGGGAGCUUUCGUUCACUCAGCAGACGUUUAUGGGGCGCAUGCGUGACUCUGGGGCGUUUAGCGAACACACUUCCUGGGCGGCUCCCAUGACUUUGGGGCUGGAACGUACCAGAACUCAAAACUCAAACCGAAGACUUCAACAAUGGUUUAUUGCUGAACCAGGUGAGCAGCAGGAGGCUCCCCUGGGCCCAGGUCUCAGUACUCAGACCUCUCCUCUGGCCUCAUACUCCUGUCUGCCUGUCUCCAGAUCUCUUUUUCACUGCAGUAUGAUGCUCAUAUUCUCCACACUGGAGCACAUCUUAGCGGUGCGCUAAGGAGGAGUGCAGGUUGGCCUCAGAUACCAGCAGGCAAGGUCUGGGGCAGCUGAGCCCCUGAACUGGUCACCUGUUUUUUCUGUUUAUAAUUUUAUUUAUUAUUUAUGUAUUUAUUUUUGAUACAGGGUCUUGCCCGUCUCCUGGGGUGGAGUGCAUUGACAUGAUCUCUGCUCACUGCAGCCUCCGCCUC
Molecule: long non-coding RNA, 799 nt
Filed under: Homo sapiens (human)
Lineage: Eukaryota; Metazoa; Chordata; Mammalia; Primates; Hominidae
Description: non-protein coding lnc-UNK-1:1
Source: RNAcentral